RNAcentral lists this ribosomal RNA (384 nucleotides) under uncultured bacterium. Its description in RNAcentral is "bacterial SSU rRNA". It matches the Rfam family "Bacterial small subunit ribosomal RNA", at positions 30 to 417 of the family's 1533-position model. The record is from RNAcentral.
AUUGAACGCUGGCGGCAUGCCUUACACAUGCAAGUCGAACGGCAGCACGGGGCAACCUGGUGGCGAGUGGCGAACGGGUGAGUAAUGCAUCGGAACGUGCCAUUGAGUGGGGGAUAACGUAGCGAAAGUUGCGCUAAUACCGCAUAUUCUGUGAGCAGGAAGCAGGGGACCGCAAGGCCUUGCGCUCUUUGAGCGGCCGAUGUCAGAUUAGCUAGUUGGUGAGGUAACGGCUUACCAAGGCGACGAUCUGUAGCGGGUCUGAGAGGAUGAUCCGCCACACUGGAACUGAGACACGGUCCAGACUCCUACGGGAGGCAGCAGUGGGGAAUUUUGGACAAUGGGCGCAAGCCUGAUCCAGCCAUGCCGCGUGAGUGAAGAAGGCCU